UGGUCGCCUUCGCGCCACUUUCCUAACCCCGCAAUCAUUUUAACCAGCGUAUCUGCGCUAUAGAUUGACUCACGGUCGGUUCGGAUUUCACUUUAUGUUUCGCUUUUGUCCGCCGGUAGAAAAGUUUUCGGAAUAGUUACGUAUUUAUUUCUCUCUUUUGUCGGUGAGAGACUACACGGCAGCCCAAGCAAGUGAGCGAAGAUGGUGGAUUUCGGCUGAUCCACCAUGAAGUGCAGCACCCCACAGGAAAUUGAUACCUGGAGCAGUGUGACCAUCAUUCCCAUGGUGCUUGGAGGCCAGCGAUGCUGUAAUCAGUCCGUGUAUUGUCAAAGUGCUUACAGUGCAGGUAGUUCUAUGUAAUAUCUACUGCAGUGGAGGCACUUACAGCAAUACCCUGACACUGAUGUUCACAUUCUUUGAUGUUACAUGUCAUUUUGAAGUACUGUCUUUGUGCUAAGGUGCAUCUAGUGCAGAUAGUGAAAUAGACUAGCACCUACUGCCCUAAGUGCUCCUUCUGGCAUAAGGGGCUGUGAUAUGCGCCACCAGACCAUUUUUAAUUUCUAAUUGGGCCUUAAAUAUCUUGCAGUUCUCUGCUAGUUUUGCAUAGUUGCACUACAAGAAUAGAUGAGUUGUGCAAAUCUAUGCAAAACUGAUGGUGGCCUGCUUGCUCUCCACCUGUUUAGAUUUUUGGUUUUGGGGGUGUCACAUCAAACACAAUCUGUUUGCAUAAUACACACUUAACACUGUUUAAAAAAAAUAAAUACAGGAGUAUUCCAUAUUGAGUGUCUCAGUUUCAGCAGUACUAAAGUGCUUAUAGUGCAGGUAGUGUUUUUCUCAUCUACUGCAAUGUGAGCACUUGAAGUACUUCUAACUAACUGCAUCUUUCUGAAGCUCAGAUGUUUAUAAUUAUGGAAAAUCCGUUAAUCAUCACUUGGUCAGUUUUGCUGGUUUGCAUUCAGCUUUAACUGAUAUUUGCUGUGCAAAUCCAUGCAAAACUGACUAGGUUAAUGAAUUAUGCUCUGCCAAGUGGGGUUACUUUCCCUCAAGAUGUCUUUUUGCUGCAUGGUGGGUAUUUGCACAUACUUGGAUGUGUAUGAUGUUUUGGAUAUUUAGAGAUGUCCCUUCCUGUGCAGGUGGGGAUUAGUAGCAAUGCUGUGUACCUGGAGGUAUUGCACUUGUCCCGGCCUGUAUAGGAACGAGGAGAUGGAGCUGACCUUGAUCCUGACCUAGUGUUUAUCAGAAAACUGCUGCACUCAACCACAUGUCCUGUGAUGUUUUGGGCUGCAUGCAAUGCAAAUUAUUAUUGAUUUAAUUGAUAAUUGGUUAAUUUGUAAUGUUGCUUCAUAAAUAUUAAAUUGUUUACACUUUU
Long non-coding RNA from Perca flavescens (yellow perch), 1369 nucleotides. RefSeq lists it as uncharacterized. The record is from RefSeq and is a predicted model, not a curated record. The transcript has 2 exons. Lineage: Eukaryota; Metazoa; Chordata; Actinopteri; Perciformes; Percidae.